Molecule: ribosomal RNA, 940 nt
Filed under: uncultured bacterium
Lineage: Bacteria
Description: bacterial SSU rRNA
Rfam family: Bacterial small subunit ribosomal RNA
Source: RNAcentral
GCGGGCUUAACNCAUGCAAGUCGAGCGGUAGAGAGAAGCUUGCUUCUCUUGAGAGCGGCGGACGGGUGAGUAAUGCCUAGGAAUCUGCCUAGUGGUGGGGGAUAACGUUCGGAAACGGACGCUAAUACCGCAUACGUCCUACGGGAGAAAGCGGGGGAUCUUCGGACCUCGCGCCAUUAGAUGAGCCUAGGUCGGAUUAGCUAGUUGGUGAGGUAAUGGCUCACCAAGGCGACGAUCCGUAACUGGUCUGAGAGGAUGAUCAGUCACACUGGAACUGAGACACGGUCCAGACUCCUACGGGAGGCAGCAGUGGGGAAUAUUGGACAAUGGGCGAAAGCCUGAUCCAGCCAUGCCGCGUGUGUGAAGAAGGUCUUCGGAUUGUAAAGCACUUUAAGUUGGGAGGAAGGGCAGUAACCUAAUACGUUAUUGUUUUGACGUUACCGACAGAAUAAGCACCGGCUAACUUCGUGCCAGCAGCCGCGGUAAUACGAAGGGUGCAAGCGUUAAUCGGAAUUACUGGGCGUAAAGCGCGCGUAGGUGGUUCAGUAAGUUGGAAGUGAAAUCCCCGGGCUCAACCUGGGAACUGCUUUCAAAACUGCUGAGCUAGAGUACGGUAGAGGGUGGUGGAAUUUCCUGUGUAGCGGUGAAAUGCGUAGAUAUAGGAAGGAACACCAGUGGCGAAGGCGACCACCUGGACUGAUACUGACACUGAGGUGCGAAAGCGUGGGGAGCAAACAGGAUUAGAUACCCUGGUAGUCCACGCCGUAAACGAUGUCAACUAGCCGUUGGGAGUCUUGAACUCUUAGUGGCGCAGCUAACGCAUUAAGUUGACCGCCUGGGGAGUACGGCCGCAAGGUUAAAACUCAAAUGAAUUGACGGGGGCCCGCACAAGCGGUGGAGCAUGGUGUUUAAUUCGAAGCAACGCGGAGAAUCCUUACCU